This 253-nucleotide ribosomal RNA is filed under the name uncultured bacterium. RNAcentral's name for it is "partial 16S ribosomal RNA". It matches the Rfam family "Bacterial small subunit ribosomal RNA", at positions 524 to 776 of the family's 1533-position model. The record is from RNAcentral.
UACGAAGGGGGCUAGCGUUGCUCGGAAUCUCUGGGCGUAAAGGGUGCGUAGGCGGGUCUUUAAGUCGGAGGUGAAAUCCUGGAGCUCAACUCCAGAACUGCCUUCGAUACUGUAGAGCUUGAGUUCGGGAGAGGUGAGUGGAACUGCGAGUGUAGAGGUGAAAUUCGUAGAUAUUCGCAAGAACACCAGUGGCGAAGGCGGCUCACUGGCCCGAUACUGACGCUGAGGUGCGAAAGCGUGGGGAGCGAACAGG